AGCGGGGAGGAGCUGGGGCAAAGCUGAAGGGGAUGGCUCUGAGGCCCUGGGAGCCCAGGCCAGAUGGGCUCAGCCAGCUCCUUGGUGGAGGCCAGGCAGUGCCCUUUUGAGCCCCUGACCUAGGCCAGGCCGCGGCGGGAGGCGGGGAGCGGGCAGGGCCUCUGGGCCGAGUCCUGCACCUUGGGGCGACCGCCCAGGCCCGCUCCCCUCCUCCAAGCCACCCUGGGACUGGUGGCUGAGUCCCUGGGGGCAGUCUUUGUGGGAUGUUUUCUGCAGGUGAGAGGAAGGAUCCCCGCCGGGUGUCUUGCUGCCUCUGGCACCUGACCUGUUCCAGACAAAGCCACCUUCCGCUCAGAAGUCUUUUCCUGUCCUCUCCCAGGCAUAGCUGCGGCAUCCCCUGCUCCGCCUGGCCCGAGUGUCAGGCCCUCGUGUCUGUGAGUUCUGGUGGCACUCUGUACCUGCCCGCCCCGUCCUCCCCAGGGCUCGUCCUCCCCAGGGCUCUUCCUCCCGGGCGGGUGGCUGCUGUCCCGGAGACCGUGGCCCCUGCAGGGGCGCAGAGUCCCUUGAAGGCAAGGACAGAGUCUCCUCGGCUCUGUAAGCCCGGUGCCCGGUGGUUGCUCUGGAAAAGUGGCCUCGGCAGAGGCCUGCUCUCUCUCCCAGGGGGCUGCGCGUCCUCUCUCCUUCCAGAAGCCCGAGGACACAGGACUGCUGGCCAUGAGGUGAGGGACAGAGGGUGUCUUUGUGGAUUUUCAGCCUCAGGGCUGCGGGGACCCUAAGGCUCACGCGAUACCCAGCUCCCUCCUGCCGGCGGCCCCUCCUGGGCCUGUCGCCCUCGGAAGGGUGUCCAGCUGUGGCCAGGCAGCCCAGAGUCUCCUGGGAGUGACGUCACAUCACCAGGGAGGGUCCCCGGGUGGUGGGCCCUGGUGUCGCCCCGAAUGCUGUCGUUGGAGCCCAGGGCACCUGCUCAGAGUCAGCUCCCCUUUCCGGCCCCGUGCCCAGGUCACCAGCAGAACUCACGGUGCCCGCCGCCCUUCUAAGCACUGGCCUUUGGGCCCCUUCUAGUCCCCA
RNAcentral lists this long non-coding RNA (1068 nucleotides) under Sus scrofa (pig). Its description in RNAcentral is "lncRNA (ENSSSCG00055020844.1)". Lineage: Eukaryota; Metazoa; Chordata; Mammalia; Artiodactyla; Suidae. The record is from RNAcentral.